UGGGGAAUAUUGCACAAUGGGCGCAAGCCUGAUGCAGCCAUACCGCGUGUGUGAAGAAGGCCUUAGGGUUGUAAAGCACUUUCAGCAGUGAGGAAAGGCGUGUAGUUAAUACCUGCAUGCUGUGACGUUAACUGCAGAAGAAGCACCGGCUAAUUCCGUGCCAGCAGCCGCGGUAAUACGGAAGGUGCAAGCGUUAAUCGGAAUUACUGGGCGUAAAGCGCGCGUAGGUGGAUUGGUCAGUCAGAUGUGAAAGCCCCGGGCUCAACCUGGGAACUGCACCUGAUACUGCCAAUCUAGAGUACGGUAGAGGGUAGUGGAAUUUCCUGUGUAGCGGUGAAAUGCGUAGAUAU
This 350-nucleotide ribosomal RNA is filed under the name uncultured bacterium. RNAcentral describes it as "bacterial SSU rRNA". It matches the Rfam family "Bacterial small subunit ribosomal RNA", at positions 355 to 697 of the family's 1533-position model. The record is from RNAcentral.